UGGACCAAAGAUGAAAAUGUAUCACAAACCAAAAAUUUUGAUUAUUCCAACUCAAUGCACCUGAGGUCAAUA
Molecule: small nucleolar RNA, 72 nt
Filed under: Choloepus hoffmanni (Hoffmann's two-fingered sloth)
Lineage: Eukaryota; Metazoa; Chordata; Mammalia; Pilosa; Megalonychidae
Description: Small nucleolar RNA SNORD112 (ENSCHOG00000016078.1)
Source: RNAcentral